AUUGAACGCUGGCGGCAGGCCUAACACAUGCAAGUCGAACGGUAACAGAAAGCAGCUUGCUGCUUUGCUGACGAGUGGCGGACGGGUGAGUAAUGUCUGGGAAACUGCCUGAUGGAGGGGGAUAACUACUGGAAACGGUAGCUAAUACCGCAUAACGUCGCAAGACCAAAGAGGGGGACCUUCGGGCCUCUUGCCAUCUGAUGUGCCCAGAUGGGAUUAGCUAGUAGGUGGGGUAAAGGCUCACCUAGGCGACGAUCCCUAGCUGGUCUGAGAGGAUGACCAGCCACACUGGAACUGAGACACGGUCCAGACUCCUACGGGAGGCAGCAGUGGGGAAUAUUGCACAAUGGGCGCAAGCCUGAUGCAGCCAUGCCGCGUGUAUGAAGAAGGCCUUCGGGUUGUAAAGUACUUUCAGCGGGGAGGAAGGGAGUAAAGUUAAUACCUUGGCUCAUUGACGUUACCCGCAGAAGAAGCACCGGCUAACUCCGUG
This 490-nucleotide ribosomal RNA is filed under the name uncultured bacterium. RNAcentral describes it as "partial 16S ribosomal RNA". It matches the Rfam family "Bacterial small subunit ribosomal RNA", at positions 30 to 507 of the family's 1533-position model. The record is from RNAcentral.